AGCUCCAAUAGCGUAUAUUAAAGUUGUUGCAGUUAAAAAGCUCGUAGUUGGAUUUGUGGUGUGUCCAGUUGGCCUUUGCUCUUUGAGUGAUUGCGCUGUACUGGUCCGCCAUGUUUGGGUGGAAUCUGUGUGGCAUUAAGUUGUCGUGCAGGGGAUGCCCAUCGUUUACUGUGAAAAAAUUAGAGUGUUCAAAGCAGACUUACGUCUUGGAUAUACUAGCAUGGAAUAAUAAUAUAGGACCUUGGUACUAUUUUGUUGGUUUGCGCACUAAGGUAAUGAUUAAGAGGGACAGUUGGGGGUAUUUGUAUUCCAUUGUCAGAGGUGAAAUUCUUGGAUUUUUGGAAGACAAACUACUGCGAAAGCAUUUACCAAGGAUGUUUUCA
This 383-nucleotide ribosomal RNA is filed under the name uncultured eukaryote. RNAcentral describes it as "SSU rRNA". It matches the Rfam family "Eukaryotic small subunit ribosomal RNA", at positions 587 to 972 of the family's 1831-position model. The record is from RNAcentral.